GCCUUCGUGGUGUAGUGGUCAGCACGCUUGACGCGUAUUCGAGAGGUCCGUGGUUCGAGUCCCGGCGAGGGGA
Molecule: transfer RNA, 73 nt
Filed under: Stegodyphus mimosarum
Lineage: Eukaryota; Metazoa; Arthropoda; Arachnida; Araneae; Eresidae
Rfam family: tRNA
About the family: Transfer RNA (tRNA) molecules are approximately 80 nucleotides in length. Their secondary structure includes four short double-helical elements and three loops (D, anti-codon, and T loops).
Source: Rfam by way of RNAcentral